GAUGAACGCUGGCGGUAUGCUUAACACAUGCAAGUCGAACGGACUCUUCGGAGUUAGUGGCGGACGGGUGAGUAACGCGUGAGAAUCUGGCUUUGGGUUCGGGACAACCACUGGAAACGGUGGCUAAUACCGGAUGUGCCGAGAGGUAAAAGAGAAAUUGCCUGAAGAUGAGCUCGCGUCUGAUUAGCUAGUUGGUGAGGUAAAGGCUCACCAAGGCAGCGAUCAGUAGCUGGUCUGAGAGGAUGACCAGCCACACUGGGACUGAGACACGGCCCAGACUGCUACGGGAGGCAGCAGUGGGGAAUUUUCCGCAAUGGGCGAAAGCCUGACGGAGCAAUACCGCGUGAGGGAAGAAGGCUCUUGGGGUGUAAACCUCUUUUCUUAGGGAAGAACAAAAUGACGGUACCUAAGGAAUCAGCAUCGGCUAACUCCGUG
Molecule: ribosomal RNA, 435 nt
Filed under: uncultured bacterium
Lineage: Bacteria
Description: partial 16S ribosomal RNA
Rfam family: Bacterial small subunit ribosomal RNA
Source: RNAcentral